Molecule: long non-coding RNA, 1210 nt
Organism: Acanthopagrus latus (yellowfin seabream)
Lineage: Eukaryota; Metazoa; Chordata; Actinopteri; Spariformes; Sparidae
Exons: 2
Source: RefSeq, a predicted model, not a curated record
CUGUCAUUCUGAAUCUUUCUGACACACUGUAGAGCUCAUCCAGAAACUCUGCUCUGUUUAGGCCCCAUUUUUGAAAUGUAUGAGAUGCCCCACUUUGUUAUAGUUGAAGGAACUUGUGUUGACAGAGACAAGAAACAUCACCAGUGAAUUUGGCUACCUGCACCAGGGUCGUCCUUAUGUGUGCAUGUGUUGCAUGCCUUGCAAAUAGCCGGAUGCCUGCAGGUUUUUUUGUUUUUCCUUUUAUGUUAUCUUAACUGAACCCCUUGGACCCCCAAGCUCCUAUACACCUUCAGUUGUAACAUUUUAUUUUACUGGGAACUUGAAAGAUUGUAAAAGCACAUUUCAGUUUGAUUACCCCCUGAAGAGGCUUCUGUUUACUAUCCGAGUAGUUGACAUUUGGCAUUCCCUGUAGAUGUACACAUGUUUUAUGUAGGUUGGGGCUGGUUCGUCAGCAUUUUGCUGCCAGUAUCUUUACUUUUACUCAAGUAUGACUUUUGGAUUCUUUAAUUCAACUCUGCUAAAUACGAAAUACAAGGCGUGAUCAAUAUUGGCACAAAUCAUUCCUUCUGUUGCUGCCGAUGUGACUCAAACAUAAAGUACUUUCGGCAGUAUUGUGUGGUAAUCUGUAUUUUGUGUAACCUUCACUAUGACAGUCUCACAAAGCUGCAGACAAACAGCCUAAUUGCUGUUGGCCAGUCCUCACAGUCGACAUGGUUUCCUUCAUCUGCAUCUCUGCCGAGGGUUUAAUGUCUGGCAGCAGUCCAGCGCUCUGAGAGUGUGCUGAAACCAAAAUAUCUGCUGGAACAGGCGACUCGCAGAGGAGAGCUGAACCCCGCAGCACACUGCAAACCAGAGCGUGUAGGCGUCCAUUAGGCAAACUCAUAUGCAACAAUAUGCAGAUUCCUCCAUUUGCACGGAUCAUAAACUCCCGCAGGCCUUCUGCUACAUCAUCAUCAUCAUCAUCAUCGCCACCAUCAUCUCCAUCAGCAGCUGCCAGCGGCGGCGAGCUGAGCAUCACGGGAAGUAAAUUUGUGCCCCGAUUCACUCAGCGACGCUUCCAUUAGUUUUUACCUGCGGUGCGAGAGUCAGUGAAGGCAUCAUGCCGACAUUUACAUCCCUGCAACGGGAAGAAGCAGCGUGAGGUCAUCAUCCACAACAUGCUGACAUCACAUGGCUGAUCUAAAUUUAAUAAAUCUUUUUAAGAAGCCUU